RNAcentral lists this long non-coding RNA (252 nucleotides) under Gossypium barbadense (sea-island cotton). RNAcentral describes it as "long non-coding RNA (GBAR_LNC004107)". The record is from RNAcentral. Lineage: Eukaryota; Viridiplantae; Streptophyta; Magnoliopsida; Malvales; Malvaceae.
AUUUAGACUUAAUCAAAUUUACCAAAAUCAAGAUAGGGUUAACUCCAUUAAUCAUAAUCAUUUAAACUAAAAGAAAUAAAACAGUGGAGAUGAAAUCUAUCAAGAAAAAUCAUAAUUAACUUAGUAGAUAAGAAUCAUGCAUGUGGGUCAAACAGUGGGCAAGUCGUGGUCAAAUUCUUGGGCAUGAAAAGAAGCAGAAUAUUCUUUAAAAAAAAUUAUAUGGGCAGCAACAACCAAAUCAGCAUCUAAAAC